GGUUGUGAUGGUGUGGAUGGAGGGGGGAGCAGUAGCAGCAGAGAAUGGUGACGGCUCUGCCAUCGCGUCACCUUCCCUGCAGCCACUGCUCCUCCCUGCCGUGCUGCUGCUCGACCC
This is a non-coding RNA of Ornithorhynchus anatinus (platypus), 117 nucleotides long. NCBI's taxonomy places the organism in Eukaryota, Metazoa, Chordata, Mammalia, Monotremata, Ornithorhynchidae. The record is from RefSeq and is marked provisional.